This 492-nucleotide ribosomal RNA is filed under the name uncultured bacterium. RNAcentral describes it as "partial 16S ribosomal RNA". The stretch from base 55 to 492 matches the Rfam family "Bacterial small subunit ribosomal RNA", at positions 39 to 507 of the family's 1533-position model. The record is from RNAcentral.
GGGGGGGGGGGGGGGGGGGGGGGGGGGGGGGGGGGGGGGGGGGGGCGGGGGAGGGGGGUGGUCGUGGGGGGGGCGGGUGGCGGGCGGGUGAGGGGGACAGCGGAAUCUACUUUUUCGUGGGGGGUAGCGUAGGGAGACUUACGCUAAUACCGCAUGCGAGCUCCGGGUGAAAGCAGGGGAUCUUCGGCCCUUGCGCGAUUGAAUGAGCCGAUGUCGGAUUAGCUAGUUGGCGGGGUAAAGGCCAACCAAGGCGAGGAUCCGUAGCUGGUCUGAGAGGAUGAUCAGCCACACUGGAACUGAGACACGGUCCAGACUCCGACGGGAGGCAGCAGUGGGGAAUAUUGGACAAUGGGCGCAAGCCUGAUCCAGCCAUACCGCGUGGGUGAAGAAGGCCUUCGGGUUGUAAAGCCCUUUUGUUGGGAAAGAAAAGCAGCAGGUUAAUACCCCGCUGUUCUGACGGUACCCAAAGAAUAAGCACCGGCUAACUUCGUG